Non-coding RNA from Desmophyllum pertusum, 74 nucleotides. The record is from the annotation of a GenBank genome assembly. Lineage: Eukaryota; Metazoa; Cnidaria; Anthozoa; Scleractinia; Caryophylliidae.
GACGCGGCGGCCUAAUGGUGAGCGCAUUGGACUCCGGAUCAAGUCGUCCAGGUUCAAGCCCUGGCCAGUAGUCC